UCUAUCGUGAGGUGGAAUCUGAAAGAAGAUGGAGGCAAAAUCUUGGUCCGAGGAACAUGAAUCACAUCAGGUAUAUAAUGGGGACGAGUGUGCAAAGCAAUAUGAAGUCAUAAGAGGUUGUGGAAUGAAACUAUUAUAUGUAAAUGUGGCAGAUAUAUGGAAGGAAAGAGAUAUGAC
Molecule: non-coding RNA, 177 nt
Organism: Coprobacillus sp. CAG:183
Lineage: Bacteria; Bacillati; Bacillota; Erysipelotrichia; Erysipelotrichales; Coprobacillaceae
Source: Rfam